UCGUAAAUAAUAAAAGAAAUUUUAUCUGGGGAAUUCCAUAAACUGCACCUAGCGCGCAUGCGUGAAGACUUCAAUAAGUCAAAUCAGAUUUUGCAUGUACUCAUCUGUAUAUUAUUAAAUAUUGCAAUCCGAGAUAUCAAAUAUUUAUUAGUGCUCUUUUCUUAGUUCUGAAAUAUUUACAGUUUAGUAUUCACUAUUUCAUAUUCAGUAAAUUGUAUAAUUAAGGAAUCAUUAUAAAGAAAGGUCGAGCAGUACUCUUAAGGUUAUACGCUAAAUGCAAUCGAAUGACGAUGGUGAUAUUGAGGUAGAGUUUGAAGCAGUUAUUAUCUACAGAGAAGAAAAUACUGUACAAUCUGUUCUCGGUUUUCUGAUUCAAAAGAAAUGGAUGCUCAAACAAUAGAUAAACAUGUAUCAUCAAUUGUUCGUGAAAAAUAGUUAGACUCUGUUUUCGAUGCUUAACGUGAAUGGAACGUUGCCUUUAUCUCUACAUAAAUACUGUUAACUCUAUCACAAUUGUAAAUACAUAUUUAAUUUAUUCUAGUACUUAAAAGUAUACUUGGAUAGAAGAUUAUGAUGACUACACAUCAUAAACUACUUACGAACAAAUAGAUCAGUUAGCUGCAAAUCUGAUGAGGAAGCAUCCGCAGUAGCUGCUGUGUGCUGACCUAUGCAUGCUAUCCAAUGCGACUGUACACAUUACCUGUGGACACCGGUAUCUCUUUUGGCAAAGAAAAGAGCAGAAUUGAAGGUGCUUAGGGAGAAGUCUAAUAUAAUGCAGCAUAAGAAUUUGCAGAAGAUGUUUAUAUUUGUUGUACAAUCAUGUUAUUAAUAAAUACUAGAAAUACAUAA
Long non-coding RNA from Cephus cinctus (wheat stem sawfly), 849 nucleotides. RefSeq lists it as uncharacterized. The transcript has 4 exons. The record is from RefSeq and is a predicted model, not a curated record. Lineage: Eukaryota; Metazoa; Arthropoda; Insecta; Hymenoptera; Cephidae.